AUAUGUAGGUUCCACACGAAUUUUUGCAUCCAAAUAGUUAGAUUUAAAGGCCGGAAAAACUACAGUAAUAAGAUUUAAUUACUUUUUCCAACCAAUAGAAACAGUUCUUCCUGUUGAUGUCAUUGACUACACAACAACUCCUACCAUGAUUACUUGAUUAUAGUAAUAAUGAUGAAUUUUUUUUUUAAUGAUAAAAAGGGUCCCGAUAAGCAGGACUAAUCGAUCUCCAACCUCUCCCAUCGGUUCUUUUCACGCGUUUGCAUGAGGUGAGAUAGCCCUAAGGACAAAUCGCUGCCGUGAAGAAUCGACCCUGAGACCUUAGGGUGGUACGCCCCAUCGAGGCAAGUGGAUUAACCACUUUUAAUUUCCUCAUUGUGAAGCCAUCACUCUUUGGCUCGUUUUCAUCGUUGCAACUUGUUUCAAUAAUUCAUAAAAAUCUAUCUUUUCGCCGAGGAAAAAAAAAAUCGAUUAAACCACUACAACAGCUCCUGAUUUAUCUGGAUAUAAACUUGUGGUGGGGCUUAUAUAUGCUGCAAAGUUGUAACCUGCAAACCCCACCCCACCUUCUCUCUCUCAUAUAGUACUAAACUUACAAAGAUUGGAAUCGUAGUUUUCUGGGGACCAAUGAAUGAGUGUAUGGCGCUUGCAGUGCUGCUGCUCAAGGUGACAUUCAUUUAUCUGCAUUUGCACCUGCACCUUACUUUCUCCCUCUAGGCCGGUCUUUCUCAUAAUAUAUGCUCACCAACUAAUUCAAUCUGGGAUAUGCAAACCCUAGCUAGGUUGAUAUAGAGAGGUGCAGAUGCCAGUGCAGACAAAUGGCAUCUUGGUUUCUCUCUCUCUCUCUCCCUCUCUCUCUUGAGGAAGUACUGCUUCUGGGCAUCGCUAAAGGUAAGCAAGCUUGGUUUAUAUCCCUCUGUGUAUGGUUGAUAUAGAGAUCGAGGUGCAGAUGCCAGUGCAGACAAAAUUUUGCAUCUCUCUCUCUCUCUCUCUCUCUCUUGAGGAAGUACUGGUUCUGGGCUCUGGCUAAAGGUAAGCAAGCUUGCUUUAAGUCCCUCUGUGUAUCUACAUAUAUACCAGUGUUCUAUAUAUGACUUCAGAGGAUUUCAUUUGCAUGGUACGUACUUAAAUCUAUUAACGAGAGGCUGCGCACACGCGCUCAACAACUUGAAUAAAAAAUGACUUAAAAAACUUUCAUAUGCAUGUAAGAUUUCUUCAGAACUUAUCCUUGCAUCUUAGUCUAGUCUUUGCAUAUUACCAACUGUUCAAGAGCUCUGGCAGCAGUCAUAGAAUCUUGGGAAUUCGUUUAUGGAAGGCAGAGGCGGCGACACCAUCAUUUCAGGCGGUUCGACGAUCAAUUACUCCAUGGUGCAAGGUGAUCAAGUUUUGAUUCCUGCCUCUAGCCCAGUUGGCAUCCUCUAGUUUCCCUUUGUAGAAGGUCAGGAUUCGAGUCCCGUCGUAGGCGCUUGUAGUUUAGGAUUAUAGAUAGCUUCUGAAACUCACAAUGGAUUAACCGAUGAUUUAACUCUCC
Molecule: long non-coding RNA, 1528 nt
Organism: Rhododendron vialii
Lineage: Eukaryota; Viridiplantae; Streptophyta; Magnoliopsida; Ericales; Ericaceae
Exons: 2
Source: RefSeq, a predicted model, not a curated record